UGUAUCUGAAGCCUGACGAGGAUGAGAACCUCCGGGGGCAAGAGGUUCGACCCGAGCGAAGCGAGAGAACGUUGCUUCAGCAACGGCCCGCAGGGCGAGCCAUCCUCUAUCACCGGCAG
This 119-nucleotide small RNA is filed under the name Salmonella enterica subsp. enterica serovar Muenchen. RNAcentral describes it as "RtT sRNA". It matches the Rfam family "RtT RNA". From Rfam's summary of the family: This family represents a bacterial cis-regulatory element known as RtT RNA. The record is from RNAcentral. Lineage: Bacteria; Pseudomonadati; Pseudomonadota; Gammaproteobacteria; Enterobacterales; Enterobacteriaceae. RNAcentral also lists the same sequence under 4 other names.